Long non-coding RNA from Raphanus sativus (radish), 1153 nucleotides. RefSeq lists it as uncharacterized. Lineage: Eukaryota; Viridiplantae; Streptophyta; Magnoliopsida; Brassicales; Brassicaceae. The record is from RefSeq and is a predicted model, not a curated record. The transcript is spliced from 6 exons.
CUAAUGUUCGUCGCUAUUCUCAACCAAUAAUUGUCUCAACUCUUCCCCUUCGUUGCCAUCGUUACGAGUUUCUGCAAUUAAGGUUUUCAUAACCUACCCUUCAUCAUUCAAUAAUGUUCUUUACUCUUUUUUCCAUGGUUUCGUUUCACCUCCCUUUUUGCCCCCCUUUAUAAAUCCUUCUUUGCAUUUUACAUCUUACAUCCAAGAAAAAUCUACAAACUCCACAGAAGAAGAUCUAUGGUUGUGAAAUCCGUUAAAUCCACGAAACUCUUCUGUCUCCAUGGGAAGGUCUCACAUUGUCCUGUAUUAUAACAAUCAAGGGAGUUAGACAUGGAUAAGAUCAGAAAGAUUGUUGGUUUUGAAGCAUAACCCGUGUUCCGAUCAUGUCAGAGCUCCACUGAGACCACCGAUGACCAUAGCCAGAAUCAAAAGGGUAAGUGACAAUCACUUCUAGGAACUAUCUCAGAGUGUAUUGGCAACUGGUCUCAGCUUAAAAAUCUGUAAGAGAAGGCAGUAUAUAGAUCACCAUGGAACUGGAUUCAUAAUCACCACGAGUAACGCCGGACCAGGAUCCAGUGCCGCUGCCAACAGAAGUUCUUGGACAUCCCUAAGUCUCUUACUCUUAGGUGGUUUGAAGGUGAAGAACGUUGUUACUGGUGAUGUUUCGGAUUUGAAAGUGUCUGCGUUGUUCUUUGCUAUUGGUCAUGAGCCGGAACGAAGUUCUUAGAUGGGCAGCUUGAGUUUGAUGCGGAUGGGUAUGUGGUGACCAGGCCUGAUUGUUCUCGAGUGGCUACUUGGUUCCAUGAAAACCAAUUUGACCAAAAUAUGGCAAUGCAAAAACUGCAAGAGAACAAUAAUUCAAGUUCAAUACGACUAUAACUUGGUGGAGUUCAAUAUGACUAUAGAGGAAAAAUCUCGGGAGCUACUACUAAGGCAUAUUUGUUGGAGAGUCUGUGUGUUUGUCAAGUUCGUAAAGAAACUUUGUGCUGCACUUGAAAAAGUUAGGCCUGAUUUCUUUUAUGGUGGUGAUGAUAUAAUGAUCAUGCAAGCUUAUUUUGUAGAUUAUGUGAGAAACAAAUUUAGUUACAUAUCAUAUAUCAUGUAUUAGCAUGUGACAUCCAAAGACAACUAUAAUAUAGAUUUUGCACCACAG